Bactrocera latifrons is the source of this 638-nucleotide long non-coding RNA. RefSeq lists it as uncharacterized. The transcript has 2 exons. The record is from RefSeq and is a predicted model, not a curated record. Lineage: Eukaryota; Metazoa; Arthropoda; Insecta; Diptera; Tephritidae.
UAUAUUUUAAAUAAUAUAAAAUAUGUAGUUCUUUCAAACGGUACUCUAGAUGUCAAGCCAAACCAUUAACAAUAACACAUUUCGGCCAAUACUAUCUUCAAUAAGUACGUCUUAUAGAAUACUACAUACAUGACAUUGUUGUUAAUUGCCUGACGACCAUUCUUAGGUUUCAGAAUCAAUUCGAAGCGAAUUCAUCAUGGCUGAUCUCGCAUUAGCAAAAGAGUAAUUCAUUCUUGAUACRAAAGAAGAAAUCAUGCUAUGUCAACGGAAAACAUAUUUACCAGACGCAAUAAAGAGGUAAUUAUGCUUACCACUAUAUUAUUCGGGAUAUAGUCUGGGAAUUUCAUUUUCAUGGAAUACGAAUGUUACAGCUGAAAAGGCGCCGAAGACCAAUAUUAGAUUUAUCACUAUUUUAUAAAUUUAGUGUUGCAUGUCCUAAGAAGAUCUCACAAACAAAUUGGAUAUUCACAAGGAUUUAUUCUCAAAUGUCUUUACAUUUAUGAUGAUAAGGCAAAUGCCUGUUUGACCGACAGAAAUAUCUUCAUAUGUAACAUAAGCAAUUAAAUAUUAAUUAAUGUAUUAUUAUUCACUUAAGCACUAUUGUGUGUUAAUAAACUAUAUGUGUUUAUUUUGCAAUA